RNAcentral lists this ribosomal RNA (406 nucleotides) under uncultured bacterium. RNAcentral's name for it is "bacterial SSU rRNA". It matches the Rfam family "Bacterial small subunit ribosomal RNA", at positions 354 to 776 of the family's 1533-position model. The record is from RNAcentral.
GUAGGGAAUUUUGCGCAAUGGGCGAAAGCCUGACGCAGCAACGCCGCGUGAUUGAUGAAGCCCUUCGGGGUGUAAAGAUCUGUCAGUGGGGACGAACAAUGACGGUACCCACAGAGGAAGCACCGGCUAACUCCGUGCCAGCAGCCGCGGUAAUACGGGGGGUGCAAGCGUUGUCCGGAAUCAUUGGGCGUAAAGAGUUCGUAGGUGGUAUGUUAAGUCUGGUGUUAAAUGCUGAAGCUCAACUUCAGUUCGGCACUGGAUACUGGCAAACUGGAAUGCGGUAGAGGUAAAGGGAAUUCCUGGUGUAGCGGUGAAAUGCGUAGAUAUCAGGAGGAACAUCGGUGGCGUAAGCGCUUUACUGGGCCGUAAUUGACACUGAGGAACGAAAGCCGGGGUAGCAAAUGGG